UUUAUAUAUACGGAUUUAUACGGAUUUUUUUUAUACGGUAAUAAUUACAUGUAAAUAAGAUGAUCAAUCUUACUUCAAUAAGUUAUAAAUUGGUAAAAAGAUCUAAAGUUUCACUUUUGUAUAUUAGAUUAUACAAUGAAUAAAACUGGAAAUAUGUUGACUAAUAAUUUUGUUGAUUCUGAAUAUAUACCGAUAUCAGAUGUAAACAUUUUACAAGAAAGAAAUACAAAUAAAAGAGAAAUUGAUUUAAUUUUUCAUGAAGAAUUUCAAUGGAAAGACAAGCUUAUAUGGAACAAAUAAGCUAUUUUUGCACUUUUCUGCUUAUGAAGCUUGUGAUAUUGAAGCUGAACACCAAAAAAAAAAAUAAAAGUUUUGACAAUCAAUUGCAGAAGAUCUGAAUAAAUUAUGUUUAUUUAAAGUUCCAUUAUCAAGUAAUCAAGUAAGAUGGAAAUUUAGUGCAUAAAAAAAAAAGAUUAUAAUCGUACAAGUAGAAAUGCUCCGAAGAUUUUUGAUGAUUACGACAAAAGAUUACAUGAAAUUUUAGGUCAUAAAAGCGUUACCAGUGAAAGCAGUGAAAAUGUUUUUAAUUCGCCAAUAUUAGUGAAUACUCAAAAUAUAACAAUUAAUAUAGAAUACGUAAAAGAAUCAAAUAAUGUCCAAGAAAAUACUAGAACUGAAGAACAUAAUACAGGAAAUACUAGCUCAGAAAUGAGAAUAGUACAAAAAAAAAGAAUGAAACAGGCUCAAAAACAUUUCGAACAAAAUUAGAGUUAGAGAAGCAAUGGUUCAUGGUGGAACAUCUUCAGUUCAUUCAGAAAAAAUAUGAAGA
Long non-coding RNA from Pogonomyrmex barbatus (red harvester ant), 829 nucleotides. RefSeq lists it as uncharacterized. Lineage: Eukaryota; Metazoa; Arthropoda; Insecta; Hymenoptera; Formicidae. The record is from RefSeq and is a predicted model, not a curated record.